Molecule: ribosomal RNA, 301 nt
Filed under: uncultured bacterium
Lineage: Bacteria
Description: partial 16S ribosomal RNA
Rfam family: Bacterial small subunit ribosomal RNA
Source: RNAcentral
CAGUCGCCGCGGGAAUACGAAGGGGGCUAGCGUUGUUCGGAAUUACUGGGCGUAAAGCGCACGUAGGCGGAUAUUUAAGUCAGGGGUGAAAUCCCAGAGCUCAACUCUGGAACUGCCUUUGAUACUGGGUAUCUUGAGUAUGGAAGAGGUUAGUGGAAUUGCGAGUGUAGAGGUGAAAUUCGUAGAUAUUCGCAGGAACACCAGUGGCGAAGGCGGCUAACUGGUCCAUAACUGACGCUGAGGUGCGAAAGCGUGGGGAGCAAACAGGAUUAGAUACCCGCGUAGUCCCUGUCUCUUAUAC